Molecule: non-coding RNA, 21 nt
Filed under: Arabidopsis thaliana (thale cress)
Lineage: Eukaryota; Viridiplantae; Streptophyta; Magnoliopsida; Brassicales; Brassicaceae
Source: RNAcentral
GAGAGGUGAUGUUGAAUGGCU